GUCGUUGUAGUAUAGUGGUGAGUAUCCCCGCUGUCACGCGGGAGACCCGGGUUCGAUCCCCGGCACGGCG
Molecule: transfer RNA, 70 nt
Filed under: Ipomoea nil (Japanese morning glory)
Lineage: Eukaryota; Viridiplantae; Streptophyta; Magnoliopsida; Solanales; Convolvulaceae
Rfam family: tRNA
About the family: Transfer RNA (tRNA) molecules are approximately 80 nucleotides in length. Their secondary structure includes four short double-helical elements and three loops (D, anti-codon, and T loops).
Source: Rfam by way of RNAcentral